AGGGCUUAGCUGCUUGUGAGCAGGGUCUGCACCAAGUCGUGUUCACAGUGGCUAAGUUCCG
Molecule: microRNA precursor, 61 nt
Filed under: Pteropus alecto (black flying fox)
Lineage: Eukaryota; Metazoa; Chordata; Mammalia; Chiroptera; Pteropodidae
Description: microRNA pal-mir-27a precursor
Gene: pal-mir-27a
Rfam family: mir-27 microRNA precursor family
Source: miRBase by way of RNAcentral